Molecule: long non-coding RNA, 1020 nt
Organism: Astatotilapia calliptera (eastern happy)
Lineage: Eukaryota; Metazoa; Chordata; Actinopteri; Cichliformes; Cichlidae
Source: Ensembl
CCUACAGCAGUGGGCAGAUGGAUGGGUUGAUUGGUGGAUCUGAUUAUUUAUGUGCAUGUAAAUACCCACACUGCCUGACACACAGAGCAUAGUUGCUGCAAUGGAGCAGGAGAUUACUUUAUCAGUCUAGUUCCAAGGCUUUGCUUAGUCUGCAUAUCUCUGAUUUACUUCAGCAAUUUAAGACAUUUAGGUAUCUUGUACGUGGACCUUUUCCACAGCUAGCAAAUUAUCCUUUUGUAGGAGGAAUUAAGAAAAGAGAGACAUUUACCUGUUCGAGCAGCAAAAAAUAAUAAGUGUCAAACCAAUCCCCACAAGCCUGGAUGAGCCUGACCAAGAGUCCGAGUUCUUGGUAUUAUCAGCUGACUGAAACUUGGACCAUAGAUAAUAUAAAACAUGCAUGUAGCCAUAACUCAUGUUUACCAAGCUCAAAUUACUAGGGAGCCCAGUGCUGUUUUCCCAUAGAAAAUCGGAAGUCUUUUUCCAGCCACAGGGGUUGCUCUCUCCUGUCCUUUACAAAAAGACAAAAAAAAAAAAAAAAAAGAUUUCAGGUAUUUCCACCUUGGCUUCUCUUUUCAAACCUGGAAAAGUAAAGUAUCUACUCCAUGUAUAAAAAAUAUGUUUCGAUUUUCAUUUAAGUAUACUCCAUUGUAUUCCUGAACUGAACUGCAUUACAGCUGCAUUACAGCAUUUCAGUUAUCCGGUUGUUCAGUCUGACGUCACUAGCCGUGUCUGGGUCUAAACUCCGCUGCAGGUCCACAUAUCAAACAAUCACUAUGGUAUUACUGAGAGUUAAAAAACUGUCUAAAGUCUUUCAUCUUUAAUAAAAUGAUCAGCGUUCUGCUCUACCAGGUGUAACAAUUGAGUUUAACAUCCAGGCAUCCAUGAAAACGGAAUUUAUGACAUUUAACGGAGUUAGAAGUUAGCAGGGAGUUAGCUCGCUAGCUUCUAUUUAAAUACAAUAUAGCAUGUCCUGACUGCGGGGUUUUGGAAACAAAUUAAAACGUACAGCUCUGUUAUCAC